UAGUAGAUACUAUAGUAGAAG
This 21-nucleotide non-coding RNA is filed under the name Caenorhabditis elegans. The record is from RNAcentral. Lineage: Eukaryota; Metazoa; Nematoda; Chromadorea; Rhabditida; Rhabditidae.